UACGAAGGGGGCUAGCGUUGUUCGGAUUUACUGGGCGUAAAGCGCACGUAGGCGGAUCGUUAAGUCGGGGGUGAAAUCCUGGAGCUCAACUCCAGAACUGCCUUUGAUACUGAAGAUCUUGAGUUCGGGAGAGGUGAGUGGAACUGCGAGUGUAGAGGUGAAAUUCGUAGAUAUUCGCAAGAACACCAGUGGCGAAGGCGGCUCACUGGCCCGGUACUGACGCUCAGGCGCGACAGCGUGGGGAGCAAACAGG
RNAcentral lists this ribosomal RNA (253 nucleotides) under uncultured bacterium. RNAcentral's name for it is "partial 16S ribosomal RNA". It matches the Rfam family "Bacterial small subunit ribosomal RNA", at positions 524 to 776 of the family's 1533-position model. The record is from RNAcentral.